This 320-nucleotide ribosomal RNA is filed under the name uncultured eukaryote. Its description in RNAcentral is "partial 18S ribosomal RNA". It matches the Rfam family "Eukaryotic small subunit ribosomal RNA", at positions 1470 to 1796 of the family's 1831-position model. The record is from RNAcentral.
CCCUUAGAUGUUCUGGGCCGCACGCGCGCUACACUGACGAAUGCAACGAGCUUAUAACCUUGGCCGAAAGGUCUGGGUAAUCUCCAAAUUUCGUCGUGAUGGGGAUAGAUUAUUGCAAUUAUUAAUCUCCAACGAGGAAUGCCUAGUAAGCGCAAGUCAUCAGCUUGCGUUGAUUACGUCCCUGCCCUUUGUACACACCGCCCGUCGCUCCUACCGAUUGAAUGGUCCGGUGAAAUCUCGGGACGGCGGCUUGGUCGCUUGCGUCCGACUGCUGAAACUUGAUUAAACCAUAUCAUUUAGAGGAAGGUGAAGUCGUAACA